Eucalyptus grandis is the source of this 1303-nucleotide long non-coding RNA. RefSeq lists it as uncharacterized. NCBI's taxonomy places the organism in Eukaryota, Viridiplantae, Streptophyta, Magnoliopsida, Myrtales, Myrtaceae. The transcript has 2 exons. The record is from RefSeq and is a predicted model, not a curated record.
AUUCAAUACGAGGCCACACAUUGAAUAUACGGCCACAAUUAAAGAGAAAACUGAGAGAGGAUAAGACGAGAGAUGCUUGAAAGCUGAGGGCUAUCUUCCUCCCUGGGGCGUGCCUCCUCUGCCACAGACAGUGCCACUCUUUCCUUGCGCCUUCGCGCCUGAGCCAUCAAGUUCAGCCUUCCCCGCCGUGCAACACUUCACCUAGAUGCUUGUCAACGAAUUCCAGUUGGUGACCUAAAGCCCUUCUCAACCAGCCAGCAGUCGCUCAGACGAUUUCCAGUGACCUCCAUGCCAUCCCCACAUCGAAGACCCUUCACUGCCGCAGCUGUCCUCUGCUAAUUCCGAGCUUGGGUUGCCAUUCACUGUUGUUCCUCCUGCCAAUUGCUGUUUGCUACAACAGAUCACGACACUUGCAACAUCGGCAAGCUCUAGGUUCGAAGGACCGCUCACAGACCUUCACGAAUUCACUUUCUCUUAUGAUCCUCAUGUAUCCAAAUUUCUUGAAGAGAUUAAUAGAGGUAGGGCCUUGAAGGGAUAAGUCCACCAUUUGGAGAGUAGCCCGCGACUUGCCUCUUGUACACGCCUCCAAGGCCUUGGUCUCAUUGGUGUUAGGUGUCCUCCGAAGGAUAACUCAAUCCAAUAGCGAACCAGCAAGCUACAUUGCUGUUACGCACUUGUUCUGGUGACCUUUGCCUUGUCGGGAUUUUUAGACGAUUUCAACGAAUCGCCGGACGCACACCAAGCCGAAAUGCUGGGUUUUCUGUUUUGCAGGUUGUUUAGAAUAUUCAAGUCAGGAUGUGUGAGUUCCAUGAACAGCCACCGCGAGCCAUCGCCGGUCAUCCUUACUGUGAUUCUCAUGAUCUGUCAUCCAUCCGAAUUUAGAAACAAUAUCCGGGCGUUAUCACAAAUUAGACUUGAGUGCAAUCAAGGGACCAAGGUCUUGGAUCAGGGUCUUGGGUCUAGGCUACCGAGCACCUAAGUCUGGGCGCCACAGACAUAGGUCAAGGUUGCGGGAUCAGGAACCGGCUGACGGGAUCUGUGUUCGGGCGACGAGUACCCGAGUCUAGGUUGCUGGAAGCCACUGAGAAAUUAGUAUUUGGGUCAGGGCGUUCUUGUUUUGUGUGGUGCUAUUUAUAUAUAAGAAAGAUAUAAUGAUAGCAAAAGGUGUUAUUUAAUUAUUCAAACAAAGAGGAAUAUAGCAAAAGAGGAGAGACAUCGAUUCAUGAAUGUAUUGCGGGAUCGGAGUAUCUUAAUGAUAUUUUUUCCCUCAGUUAUGAAUUAUAUAGCUCCACUAGAUUGUUUG